AGUAACACGUGAGUAACCUGCCCUCUACUCUGGGAUAAGCGCUGGAAACGGUGUCUAAUACUGGAUACGACCUUGAACCGCAUGGUUUCUUGGUGGAAAGUUUUUUCGGUAGGGGAUGGACUCGCGGCCUAUCAGCUUGAUGGUGAGGUAAUGGCUCACCAUGGCGACGACGGGUAGCCGGCCUGAGAGGGUGACCGGCCACACUGGGACUGAGACACGGCCCAGACUCCUACGGGAGGCAGCAGUGGGGAAUAUUGCACAAUGGGCGAAAGCCUGAUGCAGCAACGCCGCGUGAGGGAUGACGGCCUUCGGGUUGUAAACCUCUUUUAGUAGGGAAGAAGCUUUUGUGACGGUACCUACAGAAAAAGCACCGGCUAACUACGUGCCAGCAGCCGCGGUAAUACGUAGGGUGCAAGCGUUGUCCGGAAUUAUUGGGCGUAAAGAGCUCGUAGGCGGUUUGUCGCGUCUGCUGUGAAAUCCUAAGGCUCAACCUUAGACUUGCAGUGGGUACGGGCAGGCUUGAGUGCGGUAGGGGAGAUUGGAAUUCCUGGUGUAGCGGUGGAAUG
This 566-nucleotide ribosomal RNA is filed under the name Leucobacter sp. Its description in RNAcentral is "bacterial SSU rRNA". It matches the Rfam family "Bacterial small subunit ribosomal RNA", at positions 109 to 688 of the family's 1533-position model. Lineage: Bacteria; Bacillati; Actinomycetota; Actinomycetes; Micrococcales; Microbacteriaceae. The record is from RNAcentral.